AACCAUCAAAUUUAAUUAUAUUUAUAUAGUAAAAUAAUAAAGUAACUAGAGAUUAGUUUAAGAUUUUUAAUAUAGAAGUAAAAUUCACAUUAAAAUAAUAUACAUAUAAACUUCAUUACUUAUUUAUGAUAUCUUUGAAAGAAACUGGGAUUGGAUACCCCAUUAUUCUUAGACGUAAAUAAUUUUACUAGAGAAGUACGAAUAUUAUUUAAUUUAAAACUCAAAGAGCUUGGCGGUAUUUUAGACUAUUUAGGGGAACCUGCCACGUAAUCGAUAAUCCACGUUAAACCUUACCUUUUCUAGUGUUCAAUUUGUAUACCGUUGUCGCCAGAUAACUUUUAAAAAUAUAUAAGUUAGCUAUAAAAUAAAAUUAAUUUAGAUGUCAAAUCAAGGUGCAAUCUAUGAAAGGGCGUAUGGUGGGUUACAUUAAUAUAUUUAUUAUAUGAAUAGUUAUAUUAAAACUGACUUGAAAGAGGACUUAUAAGUAAAUAUAAUUAUAUUAAAAUAUAUUGAACAAAGCUCUAAAAUGUGC
This 532-nucleotide ribosomal RNA is filed under the name Veprecula sp. NP-2008. RNAcentral's name for it is "partial 12S ribosomal RNA". Lineage: Eukaryota; Metazoa; Mollusca; Gastropoda; Neogastropoda; Raphitomidae. The record is from RNAcentral.